CGCAGCCCAGUCUGUGGAAAAGUUCGUUUUGCAAAGCAGGCAAACCUAUCUCCUUUUUCUGACUCUCCUUCCCUUUCUGGACAAGCUUGGCUGGCCAAGAGAGAUUUCAAAGCGUGUAUGUUAUGUUUUCUCAAAGGGGUUGAAAGUUGUUUUCCCGUCUGUCUGGAGACAAGAAUCAUAAAGAAAGUUCCUUAAGAUGAAGACACAGAUUUGGAGAGGUGCAGUUAUUGUUCACAGCUCACACGUCUGGGUUAGAACCGACACAGCCAGGUGGCGGGGCCCAAGGUCUUCGCCACCACACCGGCGUCAGAGCGUGUGCAAGAGAAAUGACAAAAGCAUCCGAGAGCUCACAGGAAGAGGGUGUCACCUUUGAUCGAGGAGGCAGAUGUUGAACACAGUGGACAGAUGAAAGAGGAGAAAGAGAAGGAGAAAGCAAAGAAGAGAAAGAAGGAAAGGACAAGAAAGACUACUCUCAGCACCAUUCCCUUAAUAUUUACUCAAUUUUUAUAAUAUGGGAUUAAAAUUACAUUUUCCAUAUUACAAACUCGUUCCUCUUUUUCUUUCUUGAGAAAAACUGGCAGCGUAUAUUGCUUUUCAUUUUUAUUUGCUUUUAAAAGCUGCUGAUCUCCUCAGGACCCUAGAAUACCGGCGUGAUGACCUCUUACUGGUUCUUCAGAGGCAGAUAUUCACCACAUCCCCGUGGUGA
This is a long non-coding RNA of Ailuropoda melanoleuca (giant panda), 706 nucleotides long. RefSeq lists it as uncharacterized. The transcript is spliced from 4 exons. The record is from RefSeq and is a predicted model, not a curated record. Lineage: Eukaryota; Metazoa; Chordata; Mammalia; Carnivora; Ursidae.